ACUGAACCCAUAGGCGUUGAAAAGCCCCGGGAUGACUUGUGGAUAGGGGUGAAAGGCCAAUCAAACUUCGUGAUAGCUGGUUCUCUCCGAAAUAUAUUUAGGUAUAGCGUUGUGUCGUAAUAUAAGGGGGUAGAGCACUGAAUGGGCUAGGGCAUACACCAAUGUACCAAACCCUAUCAAACUCCGAAUACCUUAUAUGUAAUCACAGCAGUCAGGCGGCGAGUGAUAAAAUCCGUCGUCAAGAGGGAAACAACCCAGACUACCAGCUAAGGUCCCUAAAUCUUACUUAAGUGGAAAACGAUGUGAAGUUACUUAAACAACCAGGAGGUUGGCUUAGAAGCAGCCAUCCUUUAAAGAAAGCGUAAUAGCUCACUGGUCUAGUGAUUUUGCGCGGAAAAUAUAACGGGGCUAAAGUAAGUACCGAAGCUGUAGACUUGCGCACAACUUAGAUUAUUUAAGUUUAGAAUAUGAGAAACUAAGUUAUAUGUUUAGUUAUAUUUUUACUGAUUUUUAUAGAGUAAAGAUAGAAAUAAAACUUAGUAAAAUCAGUAAAAAUAUUCUUAGACUAAAGUUAAGUAGUUUAAGUUGUGUGCAAGUGGUAGGAGAGCGUUCUAUUUGCGUCGAAGGUAUACCGGUAAGGAGUGCUGGAGCGAAUAGAAGUGAGCAUGCAGGCAUGAGUAGCGAUAAUUAAUGUGAGAAUCAUUAACGCCGUAAACCCAAGGUUUCCUACGCGAUGCUCGUCAUCGUAGGGUUAGUCGGGUCCUAAGUCGAGUCCGAAAGGGGUAGACGAUGGCAAAUUGGUUAAUAUUCCAAUACCAACAUUAGUGUGCGAUGGAAGGACGCUUAGGGCUAAGGGGGCUAGCGGAUGGAAGUGCUAGUCUAAGGUCGUAGGAGGUUAUACAGGCAAAUCCGUAUAACAAUACUCCGAGAACUGAAAGGCUUUUUGAAGUCUUCGGAUGGAUAGAAGAACCCCUGAUGCCGUCGAGCCAAGAAAAGUUUCUAAGUUUAGCUAAUGUUGCCCGUACCGUAAACCGACACAGGUGGGUGGGAUGAGUAUUCUAAGGCGCGUGGAAGAACUCUCUUUAAGGAACUCUGCAAAAUAGCACCGUAUCUUCGGUAUAAGGUGUGGUUAGCUUUGUAUUAGGAUUUACUCCGAAAGCAAGGAAACUUACAACAAAGAGUCCCUCCCGACUGUUUACCAAAAACACAGCACUCUGCUAACUCGUAAGAGGAUGUAUAGGGUGUGACGCCUGCCCGGUGCUCGAAGGUUAAUUGAUGGGGUUAGCAUUAGCGAAGCUCUUGAUCGAAGCCCGAGUAAACGGCGGCCGUAACUAUAACGGUCCUAAGGUAGCGAAAUUCCUUGUCGGUUAAAUACCGACCUGCAUGAAUGGCGUAACGAGAUGGGAGCUGUCUCAAAGAGGGAUCCAGUGAAAUUGUAGUGGAGGUGAAAAUUCCUCCUACCCGCGGCAAGACGGAAAGACCCCGUGGACCUUUACUACAGCUUGACACUGCUACUUGGAUAAGAAUGUGCAGGAUAGGUGGGAGGCUUUGAGUAUAUGACGCCAGUUGUAUAUGAGCCAUUGUUGAGAUACCACUCUUUCUUAUUUGGGUAGCUAACCAGCUUGAGUUAUCCUCAAGUGGGACAAUGUCUGGUGGGUAGUUUGACUGGGGCGGUCGCCUCCCAAAUAAUAACGGAGGCUUACAAAGGUUGGCUCAGAACGGUUGGAAAUCGUUCGUAGAGUAUAAAGGUAUAAGCCAGCUUAACUGCAAGACAUACAAGUCAAGCAGAGACGAAAGUCGGUCUUAGUGAUCCGGUGGUUCUGUGUGGAAGGGCCAUCGCUCAAAGGAUAAAAGGUACCCCGGGGAUAACAGGCUGAUCUCCCCCAAGAGCUCACAUCGACGGGGAGGUUUGGCACCUCGAUGUCGGCUCAUCGCAUCCUGGGGCUGGAGCAGGUCCCAAGGGUAUGGCUGUUCGCCAUUUAAAGCGGUACGCGAGCUGGGUUCAGAACGUCGUGAGACAGUUCGGUCCCUAUCUGCCGUGGGCGUAAGAAGAUUGAAGAGAUUUGACCCUAGUACGAGAGGACCGGGUUGAACAAACCACUGGUGUAGCUGUUGUUCUGCCAAGAGCAUCGCAGCGUAGCUAAGUUUGGAAAGGAUAAACGCUGAAAGCAUCUAAGCGUGAAGCCAACUCUAAGAUGAAUCUUCUCUAAGCUCUCUAGAAGACUACUAGUUUGAUAGGCUGGGUGUGUAAUGGAUGAAAGUCCUUUAGCUGACCAGUACUAAUAGAGCGUUUGGCUUAUCUUUAAUAAAGCAU
RNAcentral lists this ribosomal RNA (2314 nucleotides) under Campylobacter coli. RNAcentral's name for it is "partial 23S ribosomal RNA". It matches the Rfam family "Bacterial large subunit ribosomal RNA", at positions 773 to 2925 of the family's 2925-position model. The record is from RNAcentral. Lineage: Bacteria; Pseudomonadati; Campylobacterota; Epsilonproteobacteria; Campylobacterales; Campylobacteraceae.